RNAcentral lists this long non-coding RNA (1379 nucleotides) under Anas platyrhynchos platyrhynchos (common mallard). Its description in RNAcentral is "lncRNA (ENSAPLG00000026315.1)". Lineage: Eukaryota; Metazoa; Chordata; Aves; Anseriformes; Anatidae. The record is from RNAcentral.
AGGAGGUUGAGAUAAGCCAUGCACCAGCAGCAUCUUGGCAGCUGCUGCAGGAAUGUCAGCCACAGGACCAGGAGGCUGAAAUUCCGGGUCCUGCUUACUCAUCUUGAAGCCAUGCAUCCUGCAAGAAGUUCUGCCUGCGUGUUACUCAUGAAAAAUGGUAUGAGAGCACCAACAAGCAGGCAUGGCCAGCUGGAGUGGGCUGCGAAGUGAUGCACCACCAAAAUCCAUGGAAUGCUUAUGUUUGACUUCUGGAUCACAUGGAAAAUCAUGAAUGUUUAUGGUCUGUCAAAGCAGGUCUUUCAUUCCCCAUAAUCUCACAGAAUUGUAGAGUGAUUGAGGUGGGAAGGGACCUCUGGGUCCGUCUGCUCCAACCCCCUGUACCUGCAGGGAAGUGCUUCCUAAUAUCCAGAGGGAAUCUCCUGUGCUCCAGGUUGUGUCUGUUGCCUCUUGUCCUGUCAGAGCAGCGCUGGAAGCAGUCUGCAUCCGCUGUCCUCGUGCCUCCAUUAAGCGUGUUCCUCCAGAGGACAGAAGAGACAACAACGCAGCAGAACGACAGACUGAUCCUUGUAUCUGCUCUGUGAAUAAUGGACUCUGCUCUCCGAGACUCCAGCACUUGCUUCUCUUGAAUCCUGCUCACCAGAUCCAGAUCAUUUGGAAUUAAAACAUAAAUACUUUAUCCUGUGCUUAUUCGUAUUAUGGUAGUGCCAGGGACUGGCUGCCUGUCAGCCUAGUGCUAUAUAACUGGGAGGAAAAAAAAAAAAGGUUCUGCAGUAUGUUGUUUGCACAACACUGAUUUCUGAUAAUCUGUCCUGGAAACUUCUGCACAGCCCAGCUGGAGAUGCUCAGGCAGCUCCUGGAAGGACACAUGGUGCUUGACGGGGUGUUUAAUAGAUGAACCACAUCUCUCUUUUGGCCCAAAGCUUAAUUCCAGCCACUUAUGGGUUUCACUAGUUUAGUGGACAACUACAACUGCUUUUAUUUUCCUCAGUGUUGGUUUGCUGGAGAAAACACCGAGCUAAGCUUGGUGUUUUGGCUAAACACCAAGCUAUGGACCUUCACUGCUGGGCAGCUCUAGACUUUCUCAUUGAUAUUUGUGUCUUCUGUCAGGAGCAGUAACUGAGUUCUGCUCCUUUUCCCUCCUCACCAAAGGAUCUGUAAACUCAAACUUUCUUUACACAAGUGCUUAGGCUGGUAAGAUUGCAGAAAGAGAAAGGCAGCCAGCGGGUAAGAUGUGCUGCUUGCCUUGAAUGUUCAGUGUGACUUCACCUGCUCUUUACUGCAAGAAAUCUCUGGUGUUACUCGAGUUGCAAUUCAUGAAGUUAGUGGUAAGGAGGAGAAAAUGAAAUAAAGUCUGUAGGGCUUUUAAUUGCUGAUAAAAG